GACGAACGCUGGCGGCGUGCUUAACACAUGCAAGUCGAACGAUGAAGCCCAGCUUGCUGGGUGGAUUAGUGGCGAACGGGUGAGUAACACGUGGGCAACCUGCCCCAAACUCUGGGAUGACUCCUCGAAAGAGGUGCUAAUACCGGAUACGAACUAGGUAGACAUCUGCACUAGUUGGAAAGUUUUUCGGUUUGGGAUGGGCCCGCGGCCUAUCAGCUUGUUGGUGAGGUAACGGCUCACCAAGGCUACGACGGGUAACCGGCCUGAGAGGGCGACCGGUCACACUGGGACUGAGACACGGCCCAGACUCCUACGGGAGGCAGCAGUGGGGAAUAUUGCGCAAUGGGCGAAAGCCUGACGCAGCGACGCCGCGUGAGGGAUGAAGGUCUUCGGAUCGUAAACCUCUUUCAGUAGGGACGAAGCGAAAGUGACGGUACCUAAAGAAGAAGCACCGGCUAACUACGUGCCAGCCGCCGCAGUAA
Molecule: ribosomal RNA, 482 nt
Filed under: uncultured bacterium
Lineage: Bacteria
Description: partial 16S ribosomal RNA
Rfam family: Bacterial small subunit ribosomal RNA
Source: RNAcentral